UUUAAUCAGCAGCAGGAAAAUAUAGUGAUGUUUCAGUUUAAUCAUCAUCAAGAAUUUUGAAGUGAUGGAACAUGGAAGCAAUGGAGUACUCAGUUUUGUUGGUGCCAAAACUUAUGUAGUUUUGAUAUGCUGUUAGUAAAAUUAGGAAAACUGACUACUCCUACAGUUCUAAGCACUGACUCCAGUUUCAGUUUUGUUGACUACAGAAUUUGUGUUGCACAGUUUCUUGGCUGUUCGAGUAAAAUUUUACUCCUUGUUUUGGUUUGGACUAUCUCAUACUCCCUCCGUCCCGAAAUUCUCGUCGCGCGCGCAGUACAAUCGUGUUUUUGCUAAAACGCCAUUGUGCUUUCAGAGCUCUGACAAACAAGCCCCCGUCUCCUUCUUCCACCUCCGCCUAUCGCCCGGCGUCGCCACGGCCAGCCCCCAUCGCCCGCGCGUCGCCACGGCCAGCCGCCCGUCGCCUGAGACGGUCCUGCGUCGCCAAAGAGCCCGCCCAGGACGUCGCCCACGAACAGGCCCUGCGCCGCCCACCACGAGCAGGACCUCCGCGGCCCACCCACGAGCGGUACCUCCGCCACCGAUUUCGCCGCCCACCGCCGGCGCGCUGGUCGCCGCGAUGGUCCACUUCGGCCCCGAUUCCGUUUCCCACCGCUGACGCGCAGGUCCACUUCGGCCGCCGCGUGAUGGUGGUGAUGGGCGACGCCGACACCCUCCGAUCCCCGCCCCCAUCUCUGCUGUUAGCUGGUGGCUGCCCCCGCCUUCGAUCCCCGCCCCCAUCGCUGCUUCUACGAGCUGGUACUGGUCCUGAAAAUUUGAAAUUUUUUUAGUUCAAUCAAUUUCAGUUCCAAGAUAGGUUCAGUUCAAUCAACUUCAUUGUAGCAGCAUGUUGUGCGUAAAUUUGUGCAGAAACUCAGAACCGACUUUUGGAAGUGCUCAGUCAAAUUCAGUUAACAGAGAACAGCU
This 963-nucleotide long non-coding RNA is filed under the name Triticum aestivum (bread wheat). RNAcentral describes it as "long non-coding RNA (TAES_LNC001784)". The record is from RNAcentral. Lineage: Eukaryota; Viridiplantae; Streptophyta; Magnoliopsida; Poales; Poaceae.